RNAcentral lists this ribosomal RNA (440 nucleotides) under uncultured bacterium. Its description in RNAcentral is "partial 16S ribosomal RNA". It matches the Rfam family "Bacterial small subunit ribosomal RNA", at positions 338 to 795 of the family's 1533-position model. The record is from RNAcentral.
CCUACGGGAGGCAGCAGUGGGGAAUAUUGCACAAUGGGGGGAACCCUGAUGCAGCGACGCCGCGUGGGUGAAGAAGUACUUCGGUAUGUAAAGCUCUAUCAGCAGGGAAGAAAAUGACGGUACCUGAGUAAGAAGCCCCGGCUAACUACGUGCCAGCAGCCGCGGUAAUACGUAGGGGGCAAGCGUUAUCCGGAUUUACUGGGUGUAAAGGGAGCGUAGACGGCGGUGCAAGUCUGGAGUGAAAGGCGGGGGCUCAACCCCCGGACUGCUUUGGAAACUGUAAGGCUGGAGUGCCGGAGAGGCAAGUGGAAUUCCUAGUGUAGCGGUGAAAUGCGUAGAUAUUAGGAGGAACACCAGUGGCGAAGGCGGCUUACUGGACUGUAACUGACGUUGAGGCUCGAAAGCGUGGGGAGCAAACAGGAUUAGAUACCCGUGUAGUC